GAUCAUGGCUCAGGAUGAACGCUGGCGGCGUGCUUAACACAUGCAAGUCGAACGGAACUUUCUCCCGAUGAAGCGGAGUGCUUGCACAAAGUGGAAUCAUUGAAAGUUAGUGGCGGACGGGUGAGUAACGCGUGGGUAACCUGCCAUAUACAGGGGGAUAACACUUAGAAAUAGGUGCUAAUACCGCAUAAGCGCACGGAGUCGCAUGACCCUGUGUGAAAAACUCCGGUGGUAUAUGAUGGACCCGCGUCUGAUUAGCUAGUUGGUGAGGUAACGGCCCACCAAGGCGACGAUCAGUAGCCGGCCUGAGAGGGUGAACGGCCACAUUGGGACUGAGACACGGCCCAAACUCCUACGGGAGGCAGCAGUGGGGAAUAUUGCACAAUGGGGGAAACCCUGAUGCAGCGACGCCGCGUGAGUGAAGAAGUAUUUCGGUAUGUAAAGCUCUAUCAGCAGGGAAGAUAAUGACGGUACCUGACUAAGAAGCCCCGGCUAACUACGUGCCAGCCGCCGC
This 514-nucleotide ribosomal RNA is filed under the name uncultured bacterium. RNAcentral describes it as "bacterial SSU rRNA". It matches the Rfam family "Bacterial small subunit ribosomal RNA", at positions 15 to 518 of the family's 1533-position model. The record is from RNAcentral.